GACGAACGCUGGCGGCGUGCCUAAUACAUGCAAGUUGAGCGCUGAAGGUUGGUACUUGUACCAACUGGAUGAGCAGCGAACGGGUGAGUAACGCGUGGGGAAUCUGCCUUUGAGCGGGGGACAACAUUUGGAAACGAAUGCUAAUACCGCAUAAAAACUUUAAACACAAGUUUUAAGUUUGAAAGAUGCAAUUGCAUCACUCAAAGAUGAUCCCGCGUUGUAUUAGCUAGUUGGUGAGGUAAAGGCUCACCAAGGCGAUGAUACAUAGCCGACCUGAGAGGGGGAUCGGCCACGUUGGGACGGAGACACGGCCCAAAAUCCUACGGGAGGCAGCAGUAGGGAAUCUUCGGCAAUGGACGAAAGUCUGACCGAGCAACGCCGCGUGAGUGAAGAAGGGUUUCGGAUCGUAAAACUCUGUUGGUAGAGAAGAACGUUGGUGAGAGUGGAAAGCUCAUCAAGUGACGGUAACUACCCAGAAAGGGACGGCUAACUACGUG
RNAcentral lists this ribosomal RNA (497 nucleotides) under uncultured bacterium. RNAcentral describes it as "partial 16S ribosomal RNA". It matches the Rfam family "Bacterial small subunit ribosomal RNA", at positions 28 to 507 of the family's 1533-position model. The record is from RNAcentral.